Molecule: non-coding RNA, 672 nt
Organism: Cricetulus griseus (Chinese hamster)
Lineage: Eukaryota; Metazoa; Chordata; Mammalia; Rodentia; Cricetidae
Source: RefSeq, a predicted model, not a curated record
AGACUGGCUAGCCAACAAGACCAGGGAUCCUCCUGUCUCUACCUCCCGGUGCUGAAAUAACAGGAUCCUGUGAUCUUUUCUCUACGUGGUGACAUCAUCUCCCUGGAACAACAGCCUAGAAGCAGUAGUGGUGGAAAGGGAAAAGGAAGAGAAGAAAAAUUCCUUAAAACAUGCCAGAAGAGGGCACCAGAUCUCAUUACAGAUGGUUGUUAAGCAACCUCUGGAAGAGCUGCCAGUGCUCUUAACCUCUUCAGCCAUCUCUUCAGCCCUUGUGUAAGUCUUUCUCUAAUCCUCUCAUUUACCUGACUGAACUGGUUCACAUUGGCUUUCAACAUAAGGGUGUUGUGGAAGCUAAGAAAAGUUCUGGACAAUGAGCUGAACAUGGGUUCCUGGUCUGGCAGUCUCUCAGGCAGGCUGGUGCUCUGUAGUAGAAAGAGACGCAUCCUCCCGGCUGCUGCCUGUGGAUUAGAGCCAGCUGCUAGCACCAUGUGCCAUCAUCAUGCACUAAGCUGAGCCGCACAGCGGCUGACACAGUGGUUUAAGAUUUGUCUCACGUGGUUAGAAAACUCUGCAGAGGCUUACUACUGCCAGGUCCAGACACAGAAAACCUCUAAAAAGGAAGAGUAUGUUUAAAAAUGUGCUUAGAUGCUGAAGAAAGAAAAGAAAAUGAGU